GACGAACGCUGGCGGCGUGCUUAACACAUGCAAGUCGAACGGAAAGGCCCUGCUUUUGUGGGGUGCUCGAGUGGCGAACGGGUGAGUAACACGUGAGUAACCUGCCCUUGACUUUGGGAUAAGUUCAGGAAAAUGGGGCUAAUACCGUAAAGGAGCUCCUGCUGCAUGGUGGGGGUUGGAAAGUUUCGGCGGUUGGGGAUGGACUCGCGGCUUAUCAGCUUGUUGGUGGGGUAGUGGCGCACCAAGGCUUUGACCGGUAGCCGGCCUGAGAGGGUGACCGGCCCCAUUGGGAUUGGGCUGCGACCCAGCCUCCUCCGGGAGGCAGCAGUGGGGUAUAUUGCACAAUGGGCGGAAGCCUGAUGCAGCAACGCCGCGUCCGGGAUGACGGCCUUCGGGUUGUAUACCGCUUUCGCCUGUGCCGAAGAGUGAGUGACGGUAAUGGGUAAAGAAGCACCGGCUAACUACGUG
RNAcentral lists this ribosomal RNA (468 nucleotides) under uncultured bacterium. RNAcentral's name for it is "partial 16S ribosomal RNA". It matches the Rfam family "Bacterial small subunit ribosomal RNA", at positions 28 to 507 of the family's 1533-position model. The record is from RNAcentral.